UAGAAAAAUUCUAAAGAAGAGAACAAAUUAUGAGUAUAAGCUGAGACGAAGAACAAAAUGUAAGGAAGAUUUUAUGCAGUACAUUAAGGUAGGCAUGACUUGUUAUGGUAAUACAACAUUUUGUAAAGAUUCAGUACUAGAUAGUUUCACAUUUUAUAAGUUGUUGAACAUGUAUCUCUUGAAAAGAACUUUGACUCUGGAAUUUUAUACCUUUUUUUUUUUUACUAAAUCAAUAAAACUUAGUAUUUACAUCAUGUACAGUAUAACAUGAAAAUGAAUUAAUCCACAAAAUUAUUUUAAAUGACGGCUGUGUUAGAUUUAAUUAUAUGGGGGAAUAGGAAGGCAUUUCUGAUAAAAUUUGACAAUGUAUUUGAUUGGUAGUCAUGGUAGUCAUUAUUUUAGAGAAAAACAAACCUAUAUGGGAAAUAAACAAGAAGACAUCUUUGUAUGGCAACCAAGAAUAAAAAAUGCAUUCUUAGUCAACACAGAGCCUUUGCUCACACCAAACAGCUAGCUAUACAUGCUAUAAAGGGCCCUUUAAAUGACUAGUGUAAAACCAUUCAAACAGGAAAACCAACGUUCUAAUCUAUAUAAAAAGCAAGAAAAACAUGAACCAUAUCAACAAACAACAGCCAUUGAUCAUCAGGUUCCUGACUUCAAACAGGGGCAAACAAAUGCAACAGGUUAAAGCAUUUUAAUAGGAUUAUAUAUACCAGCCUUCACCCUUACCUGAAACAACAGUGUAACAUCACAACAUAGAACAACACACUAUAAAAUAUCAAUUGUUAAUAUCAAUCAUAUACUAGUUUGCUUGCUAAAUUAAUCUCAUUGUAAAAAUAAAAGAAAAAAAGCAUAAUCAUGAUAAUGACAACCAUAAUAAGCAUACAUUUUUUUUUAGAUAAAUAACUUGUAGUAUACUACUGCAUGUACUGUACAAUAUACUAGCUUGCUGCAAUGUACAUGUAUAUAAUGAUUUUAUGUUUUUAUUCCAGUAUGAAGUUGAUGUUUUAAAGCUUAUUCAUACAAGGAGACAGGUAUGACACUUUUUCAGUCAGGGGACUUACUGAAAUAAGUAAUUUUUAAAUCACUUAUUUGAGUAGCAAAAUUGAAGUAUUGUCACAAAUUGUGAUUUUGUAGUUUUACCAAAAUUUUAAACACAUAGGUUUUAAUAAUAUCUUUUCAUUAAUAAAAUUGGAAAAAAUGAACUCUUUGCUUCUUUUAUGUAGCAAGGUUUAUGCCUUUGAUGCUAUCAUUUAUCUGCAAAUUCUAUUUUAGUUGAAACAAGAAUGUGUCCUCAGUACACGAAUGCCCCACUCGCACUAUCAUUUUCCAUGUUCAGUGGACCGUGAAAUUGGGGUAAAAACUCUAAUUUGGAAUUAAAAUUAGAAAGAUCAUAUCAUAGGGGACAUGUGUACUAAGUUGGAAGUCGAUUGGACUUAAACUUCAUCAAAAACUACCUUGACCAAAAACUUUAACCUGAAGCGGGAACAGACGGACAACGAACGGACAGACGACGGACGAACGAACGGACAGACGGACGGACGGACGGACAGACCAGAAAACAUAAUGCCCCUCUACUAUCGUAGGUGGGGCAUAAAAAUGCUAUAAUAAUGGCUAUACAUAAUAAACUCAUACUUAACAGAUUUUUCCCAGCAGUGGGAGUAUUUUUCCUGUAAAGUUCAAAGUUUCAUCUUUCAGAUUAUGUAAUAAAAUUCUACUGUUCGCGAUAAAAAUUUCACUGUUCGGGGGUGUUGAAAUUAGUGGGGGUUAUUAAAAUAAUGAUACUUAAAUAAGUGAUUUUGGGAAGGAAUUGAGGUAUGAUACUUAAACAAGUGAUUUUAUGUAUUAUCCUAGAUUCAGUACAAGGUCAACACCUGAAAUGACCUAGUCAUCCUAGACAACACAGAUGUUGGUUCUUAUAAGUUUAGAAACAUAAUUAGUCCCUGAUCAUUAGUAUCUAUAUUUAAGCUAAAAUAAAAUUCAAUCAUUCUUCUAGUGAUUAAUUUGUACUACUUAAAUAGGUGAUUAUUAAAGAAAGACAACUCUUACUUCCAAUCUGUUUGGAAAUAAUGGUUGUUAGAAAUUAAAAAUACUUUAUAUGAAUGUGGAUUUAAUUUGAUGUGGGAUGAUCAAAUAAUUGCUAAAUCUGAUAAUAUUAGUAAGAAUGUCAAGAAAUGUUUAAGUGAUAAAUUUAUGUUGAACUGGAGUAAUAAUGUUAUGAUUCUGCAAAAUGUCUUAAUUACAGAAUAUACAAGUCUGAUUUUUGUUUUGAAAAUAUUUAUCGGUGUUACCAUCUGAUCUAAGAAUGUAUUUAUGUUAAAUUCCGUUGCCUUAGUAAUAAUUUGCCCAUUGAAACGGGCAGAUUUUUUAAUAUUGAUAGAUCUGAAAGACAUUGUAAUCUUUGUAAUGCUAAUGAACUUGGUGAUGAGUUUCAUUACUUAUUCAAAUGUACCUUUUUCAACAAUGUAAGAGCUAAAUUUUUACCUUUAAAAUAUAUGUAAAAACCCAAAUUUUAAAAUUUAAAGAAUUGGAUGAAUACAUCAGAUUUAUUUACAACUUACUGGAAUAGCAAAAUUUUGCAAAAAGUGUUUAAAACCUUUAAUACAUGUGCUUAAUCAUGUACUAUAAAUUUGUACUUCCUGUCAAAUAUUUGUAAAUUAUAUAUAUACUAUUAUUGCACUUUGUUAACCAUGUUGUUCUAAUGUAAAUAUGUUCACACUUUUAUUGUUUGUUAAAAAAUGUUGUACUAACAUACCCCAUGUGGGGGCUUUAGUGAAAUAAAAUGUCUUAUGUCUAUAAAUGUUACUUAAAUCAGUGAUUUAGAAAAUCACCCAUUUAAGUAAGUCCCCUGACUGUUUUUAAUUGGUUUUGUUUUAAAAGAUAACAAGAUUAUUUUUUUUUAAUCAUUUUAAGAAUUGUUAAGUACACACAACUAUAGGAAUAAAAUUAAGAAUGGAAAUGGGGAAUGUCUCAAAGAAACCAAAGAGCAGAAAAUAGCUGAAGGUCUUCCAUGGGUCAACAAUACAGCGAAAAUAUCCCACACCCACACUUGGAAACAAAAAUGUGUACUAGUUCUGUGAUAAUGGACGUGAUAUAUACUAAACUCUGAAAUAUAUAAAACAGACUAAAAAUUGAAAAUCAUACUAGACUAAGAAAGGCCAGAGGCUCCUUCCUGACUUGGGACAGGAACAAAAAAGUGGCAUAGAAAUAAAAAAAACUAAACAAACAUAAAACAAUAGAUUUUUGUUUAUUUUGAAUAAAAAUAAAUGAUGACUAUGAAUGGUAGGGCACAAUUUAUCUUUCAUUUAAGAAAAAAUUUCAAAAAAAUUAUUUAUGUGUCCAAAACUCAAUAAUAAAACAGAUAAACUGUAGUCACAAAUGAUAACAAAAAUAUAAAAAAUGUAGCAAAUAUAAAAUUGGUAGUUUACAGAAAAGUAAAAAAUUGAUAUGUUUAAAAACAACUUUAAAAAAACCCAUCUAGUACAUGUAUGUCUGUACAAUGUGUAAAACUCCAUAUGAAUAAGAUUUGAGGGUAUAUGUUAAUUAAUAUACAGCAACCAAACAAAAAAAAAAAAAAAAAAGAUUCAUACUAAUAUUGUUGGUAACAAUUUUCUUGGAUUGAGGAAAAAUAGUAUUUCCGUUGAUAUCUGAUUUCGUGGAUUUUCCAAUUCUAUAAAAUUGAGAAUGGAAAUGGGGAAUGUGCCAAAGAGACAACAACCCAACCAUAGAUAGAAAAAAAACAGCAGAAGGUCACCAACAGGUCUUAAAAUGUAGCGAGAAAUUCCCGCACCCGGAGGCAUCCUUCAACUGACCCCUAAACAAAUAUAUACUAGUUCAGUGAUAAUGAAGCUGCAUACAAGCCUAUAGAAAGUAUGUAUAUCAUUGAAAAUUUGAAUUUGUGGUUUACAAAAACACUCAAAAUUCAAUUAAAUUUGUAUCCAACAGAUGAUAAUGAAUCCAUAGUAACACACUGAAAGCAAUAACAAGACAUUUUGAUAGUUUCUUUAUCUGUUACUGCUGUUUAUUGUGUUGAGAUAUACUUUAUAAUCAGUUAUCAUGGUCAUAAGAUCCAUAGUUAUACAUACAUGUACUAAUAAAUGUUAUAAUCUUUUACAGAAAGUGAGAUACCAUCACAAAAGGACAGAAAUUGAGUAUGCCAUUACAUGUAGAAUACACAACUUAUUUAGAGUG
RNAcentral lists this long non-coding RNA (4191 nucleotides) under Mytilus galloprovincialis (Mediterranean mussel). The record is from RNAcentral. Lineage: Eukaryota; Metazoa; Mollusca; Bivalvia; Mytilida; Mytilidae.